UUUCAGGCAGAACUCAACCAGAAAAUCUGAUCACCUCUGAACCCGUCUCAUUUUCUCUGCCUCAGUUUUUCUUCCUCCUCUUUGUUUCCUGAACCUGCUCAGGCUGCGAUGUUCCUCAUGGCCGGUUCCAGCUUGGAAACGGCUAAGCUAGCUCGGUCCUAGCUACUGUUUGGAGACCACAGCCUUCAGAAUAAAAGUCUCCUUCAGCAGUAUUGUUGCUGGAUGGAGUCGGUGCUGCAGCGUCUCUGAUGUCAGUCAUGGAUUGUCUUGUUGUAUCGGUGAACCUGGUUUUGACGCUGCUGAUGGUUUCAUGGUUCCACCGCUCAGCUGUGUCUUCUGAUCUGCGUGUCUUUGAAAAGAGACGGACGCCUCCAGAGCACGGGACGCUGACUGAACCUGGAAACCUGGAAACUGAACCUGGAAACCUGGAAACUGAACCUGGAAACCUGGAAACUGAACCUGGAAAGUGGUGAGAGAGUGAGGAGGGCUGGAGGGUGAGAGGAGAAGCUGCUCCACCAGGAAACCUCAUCCUGCUUCACAUUGUUCUGGUUUCUCCCCGACGGGAGGAAGUAAAAAACUUGACAUUUCCCUGAAUCCUGUAAACAGAUUCUCAGAUCUGAUUGUUCAUCGAGAGCCGGAAAAUGAAAAAUCUGUCAUAAAUGGAGAAAAUCAAAACCUUGAACCUUUAAAUUCCAGUAAUGUUUCUAAUAAAACAAUAAUAUUUAGCUCAA
Molecule: long non-coding RNA, 731 nt
Organism: Gambusia affinis (western mosquitofish)
Lineage: Eukaryota; Metazoa; Chordata; Actinopteri; Cyprinodontiformes; Poeciliidae
Exons: 2
Source: RefSeq, a predicted model, not a curated record